Molecule: ribosomal RNA, 75 nt
Filed under: Bradyrhizobium japonicum
Lineage: Bacteria; Pseudomonadati; Pseudomonadota; Alphaproteobacteria; Hyphomicrobiales; Nitrobacteraceae
Also listed under: 2 other names
Description: partial 23S ribosomal RNA
Source: RNAcentral
AAUCAAGUGCCUUAAGGGUGUUCGGUGGAUGCCUUGGCGCUGAGAGGCGAUGAAGGACGUGCUACGCUGCGAUAA